UACGAAGGGUGCAAACGUUGCUCGGAAUUAUUGGGCGUAAAGCGCACGUAGGCGGCUUAGCAAGUCGGAAGUGAAAGCCCUCGGCUCAACCAAGGAAGUGCUUUCGAAACUGCUGAGCUUGAGUACUUAAGAGGAUCGCGGAAUUCCCGGUGUAGAGGUGAAAUUCAUAGAUAUCGGGAGGAACACCAGUGGCGAAGGCGGCCCGCUGGGCAGUGGCUGACGCUGAGGCGCGGACAGCGUGGGGAGCAAACAGG
This 254-nucleotide ribosomal RNA is filed under the name uncultured bacterium. Its description in RNAcentral is "partial 16S ribosomal RNA". It matches the Rfam family "Bacterial small subunit ribosomal RNA", at positions 524 to 776 of the family's 1533-position model. The record is from RNAcentral.